This 484-nucleotide ribosomal RNA is filed under the name uncultured bacterium. RNAcentral's name for it is "partial 16S ribosomal RNA". It matches the Rfam family "Bacterial small subunit ribosomal RNA", at positions 30 to 507 of the family's 1533-position model. The record is from RNAcentral.
AUUGAACGCUGGCGGCAGGCCUAACACAUGCCAGUCGAGCGGAUGAAGGGAGCUUGCUCCUGGAUUCAGCGGCGGACGGGUGAGUAAUGCCUAGGAAUCUGCCUGGUAGUGGGGGAUAACGUCCGGAAACGGGCGCUAAUACCGCAUACGUCCUGAGGGAGAAAGUGGGGGAUCUUCGGACCUCACGCUAUCAGAUGAGCCUAGGUCGGAUUAGCUAGUUGGUGGGGUAAAGGCCUACCAAGGCGACGAUCCGUAACUGGUCUGAGAGGAUGAUCAGUCACACUGGAACUGAGACACGGUCCAGACUCCUACGGGAGGCAGCAGUGGGGAAUAUUGGACGAUGGGCGAAAGCCUGAUCCAGCCAUGCCGCGUGUGUGAAGAAGGUCUUCGGAUUGUAAAGCACUUUAAGUUGGGAGGAAGGGCAGUAAGUUAAUACCUUGCUGUUUUGACGGUACCAACAGAAUAAGCACCGGCUAACUUCGUG